This 479-nucleotide ribosomal RNA is filed under the name uncultured bacterium. Its description in RNAcentral is "partial 16S ribosomal RNA". It matches the Rfam family "Bacterial small subunit ribosomal RNA", at positions 28 to 523 of the family's 1533-position model. The record is from RNAcentral.
GAUGAACGCUGGCGGCGUGCUUAACACAUGCAAGUCGAGCGAUGAAGCACCUUCGGGUGUGAAUUAGCGGCGAACGGGUGAGGAACACGUGAGAAAUCUGCCUUCAACACUGGGAUAACUCCGGGAAACCGGGGCUAAUACCGGAUAUGAAACCUGCGGGCAUCCGCGGGUUUGGAAAGUUUUUCGGUUGAAGAUGAUCUCGCGGCCUAUCAGCUUGUUGGUGAGGUAAUGGCCCACCAAGGCGACGACGGGUAGCCGGCCUGAGAGGGCGACCGGCCACACUGGGACUGAGACACGGCCCAGACUCCUACGGGAGGCAGCAGUGGGGAAUAUUGGGCAAUGGAGGAAACUCUGACCCAGCGACGCCGCGUGCGGGAUGAAGGCCUUCGGGUUGUAAACCGCUUUCAGCAGGGAAGAAGCGAAAGUGACGGUACCUGCAGAAGAAGCACCGGCUAACUAUGUGCCAGCCGCCGCAGUAA